GACGGGACCGCACAAGCGGUGGAUGAUGUGGAUUAAUUCGAUGCAACGCGAAAACCUUACCUACCCUUGACAUGUCCGGAAUCCCGAAGAGAUUUGGGGGUGCUCGCAAGGAGAACCGGAACACAGGUGCUGCAUGGCUGUCGUCAGCUCGUGUCGUGAGAUGUUGGGUUAAGUCCCGCAACGAGCGCAACCCUUGUCAUUAGUUGCCAUCAUUUGGUUGGGCACUCUAAUGAGACUGCCGGUGACAAACCGGAGGAAGGUGGGGAUGACGUCAAGUCCUCAUGGCCCUUAUAGGUGGGGCUACACACGUCAUACAAUGGCCGGUACAGAGGGUAGCCAACCCGCGAGGGGGAGCCAAUCCCACAAAGCCGGUCGUAGUCCGGAUCGCAGUCUGCAACUCGACUGCGUGAAGUCGGAAUCGCUAGUAAUCGCGGAUCAGCAUGUCGCGGUGAAUACGUUCCCGGGUCUU
RNAcentral lists this ribosomal RNA (469 nucleotides) under uncultured Rhodocyclaceae bacterium. RNAcentral's name for it is "bacterial SSU rRNA". It matches the Rfam family "Bacterial small subunit ribosomal RNA", at positions 917 to 1381 of the family's 1533-position model. The record is from RNAcentral. Lineage: Bacteria; Pseudomonadati; Pseudomonadota; Betaproteobacteria; Rhodocyclales; Rhodocyclaceae.